CCUAAGGUAGCGAAAUUCCUAGUCGGGUAAGUUCCGACCCGCACGAAAGGUUUAACAACGGGAGCGCUGUCUCGGGGAGGCAGCCGGCGAAAUUGUAGUGGCGGUGAAGAUGCCGCCUACCCGCAGUUGGACGAAAAGACCCCGGAACCUUUACUGCAGGCUGGUAUUGAAUUUUGGUCCGGUAUGUGUAGAAUAGGUGGGAGGCUGUGAACCCCGGACGCCAGUUCGGGGGGAGCCACCAGUGAAAUACCACCCUUACCGUACUAAGGUUCUAACCCCCCGAUUUAGCGGGGGAGACAGUGCCAGUUGGGCAGUUUAACUGGGGCGGUUUCCUCCUAAAAGGUAACGGAGGAGCCCAAAGGUAGGCUCAGUCCGAUUGGAAACCGGACGUUGAGUGUAAGGGCAUAAGCCUGCCUGACUGCGAGAAAGACAUUUCGAGCAGAGCGGAAACGCGGGCCUAGUGAUCCGGUGGUUGCGUGUGGGAGCGCCAUCGCUCAACGGAUAAAAGGUACUCCGGGGAUAACAGGCUUAUCGGGCCCGAGAGUUCACAUCGACGGCCCGGUUUGGCACCUCGAUGUCGGCUCAUCCCAUCCUGGGGGUGGAGAAGCUCCCAAGGGUCCGGCUGUUCGCCGGUUAAAGGGGUACGUGAGCUGGGUUCAGAACGUCGUGAGACAGUACGAACCGUGCUGUCUAUAAAUCUGGCUAUAUGCUGGGAAGUCUGAGUAUCCCAUAUUACUACUUGAUUAUUCAGUCUCUAUAUGCUAUUCUAUAGAGAUUCCCUUUUUUAAGGGACCACUUUGAAAUAAUAAGGUGGUGAGUAAUCAAGAGUAAAAAUAUAUGGGUGCAGAUAACCAGCAGGGAAGGCUAGAAGGAGAGUGGGGCGAUUAUAUCGCCGGUUUUGUAGAUGGUGAGGGAAGUUUCUCCAUUUCUAUCCAGAGAAGUAAGAAUGUGAGAUUAGGAAUUCAGGUUAUUCCUGAGUUUCAUGUGUGUCAGCACCGUAACCGUAAGGAAGUGUUGGAAUUAAUCCAGAGACAUCUUGGGUGUGGGUAUAUUAAACCCAAUCAUUCCAGAAAUCCCUAUGAUCUUACUUGGGUGUUAGUAGUGCGAGAUUUAAAGAAUUUAGAACAACGUGUGAUUCCUUUUUUUGAAAAAUACUCUCUUUUUUCUAAAAGAGAUGAUUUUGAGAAGUUUAAAGAAGUGAUAAGAAUGAUGGGGAAGAAACUUCAUCUCACCCUUGAAGGUUUAAAGAAAAUUUUAAGAAUCGCCCACUCCAUGAAUAGCAGGGGUAGAUACAGAAAACUACCACUUAAGGAGUUAUUUCUUCUUCUAGAACCCUCAGAGACUGUACGCCAGACCCCGACGUAACGUCGGGGAAGAUAUAGUCCGAACUCACCGGCGACGGUGAGAGUCUGACAGAAAUGUCAGGCCGCCCAGCCUUUUUAUUCAACCUAUGGAAAGAAAAUAGCGGUUAUUUUUCAAUAUUUUGCAAAGAAGAUUAAUCUUUUACUUAAGAUAAAUAGAAAUUAAAAAAGGCUGGGUCAGUAUCCCGACGAAUGUCGGGAGAAAGUAACAGAUUGUCGGUCUCUAUCCACUGUGGGUGCAAGGAUACCUGAAGAGGAGCUGUCCCUAGUACGAGAGGACCGGGGCAGAGGAACCUCCGGUGUACCAGUUAUCGCGCCAGCGGUAAAGGCUGGGUAGCCGUGUUCCUAUGAGAUAACCGCUGAAGGCAUCUAAGCGGGAAGCUCACCUCAAAACUAGGUAUCCCUCCCCGACAUUUCGUCGGGGUGAAGGCCGGUCGGAGACUACGACCUUGAUAGGAUGCAGGUGUAAGUCCGGUAACGGAUUUAGCCGAGCAUUCCUAAUGGCCAAUCGGCUUGAU
Molecule: ribosomal RNA, 1879 nt
Filed under: Candidatus Omnitrophota bacterium
Lineage: Bacteria; Pseudomonadati; Candidatus Omnitrophota
Description: bacterial LSU rRNA
Rfam family: Bacterial large subunit ribosomal RNA
Source: RNAcentral